AGCAGUCGCCGCGGUAAAACGAAGGGUGCAAGCGUUAAUCGGAAUUACUGGGCGUAAAGCGUGCGCAGGCGGUUUGUUAAGACAGAUGUGAAAUCCCCGGGCUCAACCUGGGAACUGCAUUUGUGACUGGCAAGCUAGAGUGUGGCAGAGGGGGGUGGAAUUCCGCGUGUAGCAGUGAAAUGCGUAGAUAUGCGGAGGAACACCGAUGGCGAAGGCAGCCCCAUGGGCCAACACUGACGCUCAUGCACGAAAGCGUGGGGAGCAAACAGGAUUAGAUACCCCAGUAGUCCCUGUCUCUUAUAC
Molecule: ribosomal RNA, 303 nt
Filed under: uncultured bacterium
Lineage: Bacteria
Description: partial 16S ribosomal RNA
Rfam family: Bacterial small subunit ribosomal RNA
Source: RNAcentral